Erpetoichthys calabaricus (reedfish) is the source of this 302-nucleotide long non-coding RNA. RefSeq lists it as uncharacterized. The record is from RefSeq and is a predicted model, not a curated record. The transcript is spliced from 3 exons. Lineage: Eukaryota; Metazoa; Chordata; Cladistia; Polypteriformes; Polypteridae.
ACAGGCAAAUUUAAUUCAUGCCGAUAUUGAAAGUGCUAUCAAUGACUACAAAAGUGGAAAACAGAAAAAGAGACCUGACACCUUAAGGAUGAUUUUGAAAACUGACUCUGCUAUCCCUCCACCCCCUUCAUCUCCAGCACCAGUUCCACCUGCUACAAUCACCCAAGUAGAUGUAAAGAGUCGAGUGGCAGCUUGGUCAGCAUGGGCCUCUUCUGAUCACUAUGAAGGUGAUAAGCAAAAAUAUGCUUCUGAACAUGAUGAGACGCCUGAGGUUAUGAUAGCCAGGGUUGACCGAGAUGUGG